Molecule: ribosomal RNA, 468 nt
Filed under: uncultured bacterium
Lineage: Bacteria
Description: partial 16S ribosomal RNA
Rfam family: Bacterial small subunit ribosomal RNA
Source: RNAcentral
GACGAACGCUGGCGGCGUGCUUAACACAUGCAAGUCGAACGGCAAGGCCCUGCUUUUGUGGGGUGCUCGAGUGGCGAACGGGUGAGUAACACGUGAGUAACCUGCCCUUGACUUUGGGAUAACUUCAGGAAACUGGGGCUAAUACCGGAUAGGAGCUCCUGCUGCAUGGUGGGGGUUGGAAAGUUUCGGCGGUUGGGGAUGGACUCGCGGCUUAUCAGCUUGUUGGUGGGGUAGUGGCUUACCAAGGCUUUGACGGGUAGCCGGCCUGAGAGGGUGACCGGCCACAUUGGGACUGAGAUACGACCCAGACUCCUACGGGAGGCAGCAGUGGGGAAUAUUGCACAAUGGGCGGAAGCCUGAUGCAGCAACGCCGCGUGCGGGAUGACGGCCUUCGGGUUGUAAACCGCUUGCGCCUGUGACGAAGCGUGAGUGACGGUAAUGGGUAAAGAAGCACCGGCUAACUACGUG